AACCAGCAGAUAUUGUGAGCAAUUUUGAUGCAUGGGCAUAUGAUACCAUGUGGGCACUAGCUAUGGCUGCUGAGCAAGUUGGAACUCACUAUCCAGAAGCUUCAUAUCAGGACACAACUGCCGACCUCAAUUCUUCAGACCUAUUCAACCUUCCUAUCUCAAAAAGAGGUCCUAAACUUCUCAAAGCAAUUCUGACGACUAGGUUUAAAGGGCUUAGCGGGAUAUUCCAUCUCGUUGAUGCUAUGGCUGCUGAGCAAGUUGGAACUCACUAUCCAGAAGCUUCAUAUCAGGACACAACUGCCGACCUCAAUUCUUCAGACCUAUUCAACCUUCCUAUCUCAAAAAGAGGUCCUAAACUUCUCAAAGCAAUUCUGACGACUAGGUUUAAAGGGCUUAGCGGGAUAUUCCAUCUCGUUGAUGGAAAAUUGUAUCCAUCGUCAUAUAAAAUACUCAAUGUUGUUGGAAAUGG
RNAcentral lists this long non-coding RNA (469 nucleotides) under Capsicum annuum. Its description in RNAcentral is "long non-coding RNA (CANN_LNC003881)". Lineage: Eukaryota; Viridiplantae; Streptophyta; Magnoliopsida; Solanales; Solanaceae. The record is from RNAcentral.